CAGGAUCUGAGGAAGUGACCGUUUUUGGGAGAAAUCUUGAAUGUAAACUCUACCCCCUCCCAACCAGUUUUCCCCUCAGCUCCUCCUCUCCCCUCCCUCUCUGCUCCAUCAAGCCCCGCCCACAAACAGACGCAGACACAGAGGCCCAGUCAAGGUAAAAGUCAAAAGCAUUGGUGCUACUGUAGAUGCCAACAGACUACCAGCAAACACAAUGUUUGCAGGACUUCUACAACUAGGAUAAAGUGACAUAGUCCAGGACCCGAGGGAGGACAGUUUAGCGAUGGCGCUACAACACGCUACAGCAGGUCCGUUUGACAAGAAACACUUCUGUUACAGACACUUGUCUUACUUUGUUAAAGCGGUUUACCUGUCCAGCAGAAAGGUUACAGGGUCCCCAAGAUCCCCAAGCGUCCCCCAUCCUUUUAUGUUGACCCGGCUUUUUAGCUCUUGUCCGGUCUACCUCUGUUUUAAGCGCCCGUUAUUCCUCCAGAGUCUCCGGUAUUUACUUUGUUUUCUCGCUUGUGUCGGCAGUCGUGGCUAAAGGAGGAUUCAGACAAUUUUCCGAACUUUCUGGUUGGUUUCUACUGUCCGAUAUUGUAGCAAGCUAACUUUGUUUGGGCUCCUGAACGACAUGGGGGAGCAGCGUCUGCCUCACAACCAAAUGUCAUCAAUAACUAAUAACUAUUGACUGAUAUUAAAAGCUUUUUUGUAUAUACACCACAAAAAAAGAUGCGUCUUUAACGGAUUCCUGCCUACGCCACCUUUAUGUUCAGCCUGUUGGGUCAGCCACAUGUCGGACGCCCCUUCCCCAACCCUCAAACUCAAGUAUCAACCUAACACACCUGGUCCGGACAACACCACUCCUCUGCUGCUGGGUUAGCGGGUUAGGAUGGUCAAGGAUGAGCUAAACUAUUUUCUCUCAGUUUUAGAUCCUACAGAAGAGGUUUCAAAGUGUGUCCAGUUCUUUUGAUUUCAAAAUCGAUCCAUCUUGAGUCGGCCUCAAGGACAAACUAACACAAGAAGCCUCUAAAAGCUUGAUAGAGUUUGAAUUUCAUUUCAUUUUUUUGAAUUCAGACUCUUUCUUCCUUCUUCUCAUUGCUAAACUGGAAGCUAUGCAGCCUGUUUGAUCUAUUUUGUGAGUUUCAAACAUUUACUGAAGGAUUUCAGAUUCAAGUUUUGACGGAAGUUAAAAAAGGAACAAUCUGUCAGCUCAACAAUUAUCACUUACACUGGGAUUGUGGGAAAAAAAACCUGUGGAUGUGUUAGAAUAAUACCUGAAUCUCUUUUAUUUCACUUGAUUUUUGUAGAAAUAUAAAAAACACAAUUCACUGAUGCUUUUCUCUUUGAGUAAAUACCCCAUAUUUCAUCAAUAAUUCAUUUUGAGCAGCUGCGAUUGAUAAAUGAUCAAACUUAUGUCUAAACUUUUGCAGACAGACUUUUUUUGGAGCUGCUGAGAUAUUCAUCAGCUGAUACAAGGAUUUAACAAUCAGGUAGACACCUUUCCUUUCUGUAUACACUCCCCUCUCCCCGAGACGCUGAGAACCGUCAUCACCUGGCCGGCUCUUAAACUUCAUCUCCUUUUGUGACCCCGUUAAGAAGCUUUUUGCGUCUUCUCACCUGUCUGAGGUGAGAGACACCUUGCUGUCGGCCCGGCAUGCUCUGAAUCAAGAGUGCGCGUAAACAAGUUCUGCCUUUAAUGGAGAACAAACUUAAUGGGCCACUGCACCUUAUUUCUCACAGAGCAGGAAACAGCACAAACAGCAUCCAGUCUCCUCUAUCAGAGAACCACAUCAGGAUCACAAGGUUAACUCAGGGAGCAGGGAGCUCCAUCACCUUGGCGAUCUGGGUCCAGACUCAAUUAUUAGCAAUCAAGCAGCCGGCUGGAGUGUCCUUCAGUAACACACUGCACCCUGUAUUUCUUUGUGGAGGAGCCGCCCCCUCAGAGACCGCUGAUACAUAUCCCAGAAGUGUUAUUAUAAUCAAAUAACUCAAGUCGCAGAGAAAUGAAUGCUAAUGUCACCUGGAUUCCUCUGUUAAGUCUGGUGAUUGGUGACAGGGAAAAGAAGCGUUUUUAAUGGUUAUUUUUGAUUUAUCUUGAUUUGAUAAGGAGAACAGGUAAGAAAUGUUGGCAGCAGAGAGUGGAGGAUGACCCCAAAAGACAUAUUUUUUAUCAGGACUUAAGAGAAUACAAAAUGUGACAGUAUCAAGAUUUUAGUUUUGGGAGUGCCUUUGUAGUUCAAAUUGUAUUUAGCGACUUUUAUAUCAGUAGAAAAGGAAAAAUGGGGAGUAUAGAGAGCAAAAGCAGGCAGAACGCCAUACACCGGCAGUGCUUUAAAGGGAUAUUCCAGCGUAAAAUUAGGUAACGGUCAAACACACUGUAACACCGCGUUAGACACCUCUUCGAGAGAUGAAUGUUGCCGACCGCUUGCUUCUCUAGUUAUACCAACUUUAGUAACGACCGCAGGAUAGCAAUACACAGCAGUCUGAGAAGCCAUAAACAAACCUCAACCAAAACGCCACUCUAUCGCCACAAAUAAUGCUCAGAACAGCACCUAACUUCGACAACAGGACUUAUAGGGUCACAGCCAUAGUACUAGACACCAAACAUUUUAUUAACAUGGACUAAUUUCUUUAGCAAAGAGACUAAACACAACUCACCUACUCUCUUCCACUACACUGGGUGGUAAUUAGCCCCAAUCAGCUCCUCAUUAAAGCAGACGAAGUUUAGAGUUUAAAGUCCUCAGUCGGUGACAGGGGAUACCUUCUGAGAAUGUGUGGAUUUAUGACCUUAUUGUGCAUUUCAGAUAUAAUCUGAAUUAAAUAUAACCUCCAUAGUAAAAGAAGUUUUGUGUUAAAGAGUACAGAUUAAUAAAAUAUAACAGGUACAAACAGGUUGAAAGUGACUCUCGAAUCUCCUCAAGGUCUGACUGGCUGAGAGCGGCGCCGUCUGCAUCCAGGUCUAAUAUGACACUGAACGCUGUUAUUUACUGCUCUGUGGAGAGUUCAUUUCACCGAGUCGCCCUGCACAGAGAUAUUUAUGAGGCCAGAUAAAAAAGUGUGUGUCAGUGUCACUCUGUGCCACACUCUGGUCCUCAUGUAUCUCCAGUGUCAUAACCCAAACACUGAUCAGGAUCAGUUCAAACAGCUCAUAUGCUUUGGAGAGCACCGACUCCUAUCUCCUAUCUCUCUAUAUGAGUUUGUACCCGAGGACGGCUUUGUCAUUCAGUCAGUCAGCAGGUCAGUCGGUUCAUCCCUUUGAGAUUGAAAUAUCUCUCUUAUUACUAAGUGGCAACUUCCAGUCAAAUGAACAAUAAAGCAGAAUAAGUGGAAGUGCUAAAACUGCAGUUCCUUAAUUGUCCACUUGAGGCUGUCUGUAAAAGCCUGAGAAACAACAUACACACCCAUUCAAACAUCUGCUUGCGACUAAUCAGAAUCAAGUAUUCAACACAGCUGGGUGAUUAGGAAGACAGUCAGAAAACAGGAAAAUAUCACGACUAUCACAAGAGAUUAUUACUGUUGAAAAUUUUAAGGUUGCUAGCUUUGGGAUGAUAGCUAAUUUGAUUGACAGGUGGGCUAAUUGUCAUGAGUAGGCCUGUCGCGAUAAUCAAUAAAUCGCCUUAUCGCUCGAUAAAUAAAAACGAGGUCGAUAACUUUGCCAGCCUCGAUAAUUGACGUGCGUUUGUUUUCCUCCUCUCUCGCUACCAAACACGCUGGAUGAGAGAAGAGGUCUCACUCUGCGCAUUGUUCUCGGCACCUGGGGGCGUUGGCUCUAUAGCGGAAUGAACGGAGUUAGUGAACCCUCCUGUCAGUCAUUCAGUGUCUUUGUCACGAGGGGGCUGGCUUGCACAGGCACACAGACACAGACUUUUUGGAUACAGUGCUGCAAGUGAGCGUCGUGAGUGAAAAGCAAGCAAACAGAAUGAACACGACAGCUUUGGUGUCUAAACCGAACGCAACAGCCCAAGUGUGGGAAUAUUUCGGCUUUAAACCAGUUUUGUUUUCGUCAACCACAAAACUCCACGUGUGUGUGUGCGCGCGCGUGCAUGUGUGUAUGUGUGUUGGAGGAGCACAGCAGGCUGAUGAGAGCUGUCAGAGCGGACUGAAGCUGCUCCUGUAUGUUUAGCGUUUAACUGACUGAGUUUUGCAACUCUGUUCGUCAUUUUCGUCUCGUCCCAUCAACGUUAACGCACUUUCGUCUCGUCACAUUUUAGUCAUCUCCGACAUAUGUUUAGCUCGUCAAUGUUACGUCUUCGUCGUGGGAGAAAAGGGAAAUAUUUUAGUCAACGAAAACAACCAGUGUUGUUCUCGUGUGGAAAUUAAAGUUUAUCACUUUUGACAUGGUGUACUCGCAUUAUUAUGCCAUAUAAUAUCAUUAUCUAUAAUUUAAAAAACGGUGUCAAUAAUAUCGUUUAUCGGCGAUAAUUUGUAGCACAAUUAUCGUCCAGCAAAAUUUGUUAUCGUGACAGGCCUAGUCAUUAGCGAGACGGCUGAAGGAACGCCUGAACUUCAACUUUUGGUUUCUUGCUAAGUUGACCAAAAGUCACAGUAGGUCAAAAGAGACUAAUCCUGCGUUCCAGUAGUACUCAGAAGUCGGGAUUUCGGGACUCGAAAAGUCGGACGAUCCUCACCAACCCCGACUUGACGACAACUUCACAAUCCAAGAUGGCAGUGCAUCGCCAGUAAAAAGUAACAGUAAAAGCUCUCAUAAUGUUUUAUUUAUCAGCACUUCUGUUUGUUUUUGUGAAAUUAAAUUAGUGGCAUAUGUUGUGCGUUGUUUACGACUAGUAUAGCUAACAACAACUGACAACAGCUAACGACAGCAAACUAUACGUGUCCAUCUUGGUUUUCCGACUUGUUAACUGGAACGCCGUCAACUCAGGUGUAACGUCAUUCCCAGCACCGACAUAUGACUUCAGUCCAUGUUUUGAACAGUCUAUGCCUAGUUCAUAAAUUACUGUGGAUUUACAGCUGGAGUAUUUGUCAUGUUACUACAGACCACCCAAAGCAGACCACCCACUUCCAAUGCUUUGUAGUCCUAGGCGACACUCUUGACACCUUGACCAGUCUGAGCCCAUAUGCACCUUUAAACUUUUAAGUUUGAGCUCUUCUGUUGGUUCAGACCACACAGGCCAGUCCACAGUCCCUAUGUGCACCCAUGUCCUUGUGUCCAGGUCACGGGUUUUCCUGCUUUCAACCACUGCAGAACAGAAAUACCCCACAAAAGCUGCAGUUUUCGGAAAUGCUCUGACCCCCUCUAACUGCUAUAUUUUAGCCCUUGUAAAAGCUGCUCACAUCUUUACCCCAGCCCAUUUUACCAGCUUCUAACACAUCAACUUCAAGGACCAAAACGUGCUCUUACUGCCUCAAAUAUCCCACCGACAGGUGCAAUUGUAGCAAAGAAAUCAAUGUUAUUCACUUCAGUGGUCAUAAUGUUAUGGCCGACCCAAGUAAAGUUCCCUCUUUUGUUUCAAAUAUCUGAACCUCUGAGUAAUUGAUUUUGAUUUUUUACCACCAUGGGGUCAUGUGGGUGAAAUUCCUUGAUAAACUAUUUGAUGAAUCAUUUCCAAAUUUGAUAUAAACUUAUCAAACCAGUUCAGUAGAUAUGAGAUUGAACUGUGGUGGUAGAGGGGGGUGAGAAACAGGCGGCAUGGAGAGCGUGGCUUAUUAGGAGUGAGUGAUGAAGGGAUUUGAAAGCAAUUUGACAAAAAUGAUGCAACUAUGUUUGGAUAUUGAAAGGAAAACAGCUGAGUUUGCUCACACCAUACGGCCAAUAUAAAUAGCAGGGUGGCAGUCAUUUCUAAAUCUAAUAAGUUCAGGUUGAAUCAUUCCUGCUUCAGUGCUAAGCAACAACAUUAAACAUCAUGAGAGGCAGUCAGCAGGAACAGCAACCAAAGAGUUCAGGAGGUGAGUGAUCUAAACUGCUUUGAUUUACAGGAAAAUACUGUUGAAUUUAGCUCAAAAAAAGGAUGGUUUGCUGUAACGACUCAAAGUAAAAUCCACUUGCUCCGUGAGUCCGGUAGCUCUUUGUGAUUUUGCAACAUCUAGGGGAUUUUCUGUCGAAGGUAGCGAAGGUAAUCUGUGCUGAUUUACUGUUGUUAAAUAGAUCUACUGUUGUCAACUGACUGUGUUAGCUAAAGGCUGAAGUGAGGAUAAUGAAACUCUUGGUAAAAUGUGUGUUAUUGACACUAAAUAAACUUGUAUGGGCCUACUUCUCACAACAGAAAUCCACAAAAAAUUGGAUCAACAAGUAAAAUUGAUGAUGGCUUUAGAAUAAUUCAAUGGUUUAAAUUCCAUCCCCUAUCACGGUCUAAAUUCACUUUAAAACUGUUAAUUUACUAUACACCCUUGGACCUUUCGUAGGCAACAAAAAUAACAAUUACACGGACAUCUCCCAUAAAUGAAUCAUCGAUCAAUUAUUUUCACUUUAAGCUUUUGAAUAUUGUUUAAAAAGUGAUCACAAAUACUUGUGUUUUAGCUUAAUAAAAGUAUCAAAGCAGAUUAAAGUGCAUCUAAAUUACAUCUAAUCUGUUUAAAAGAAACCAAGCAUCACCUGUUAACUUGCUUCACCUUCUUUAUUUUUCAGUUUUUUGCUUUAAAUGCUCAGGGAGCUGUAGAGUAAAAGAGACAUCAAACAAACUGAAGAAAACAGAAACAAAACAACCACAUACUGCCUCAAAUAUAGGGCUUUAGUUGUGUUUUAGGACUUAUUACAGGAAAAAUAAUGCUGUUAUCGUCUGCAUCUAUUCAGAAUAACUAAAAAAGCGGCGAAUGCUUUAAGAUCUGAGUUUACACAACAGAUAAUCUGAAUGAGACGAUCAGCUGCUGAUUUCAUAAUCGAUCUUAUAUUACGCUGUAGGGAAAAUUGUUUUUAUUCAAAGACCACCACAUGCCUCACUUUAAAAUGGACUAUUGUGUGACUUGUUUAGAAACCUGAUUCCUGUCUUAAGUGCUCGCCCUUCACGUUAGAAAAUCGCUCUCAUGUGAAGUCGAAUGAAUUGAAGUUCAUGAUUCCUGUUGUUCUGCAGCCAUUUAGUCUCAUUGUCCAAGCAAAAUUAUUCCUCUCUCCAGGAGACCACUUAAAGAACACGUUUCCACCUGUGCUCAUUCACAAUCAGCCCUUAAUAUGAGCCCCCUGAGGUUUUAUUGCUUCCUGUGGUCUUUACCUCUUACUCUAAUGGGAACUUAAACUAACAGAAGAAUUCCCUCCUGAUUUAAAAACACACUUUCUCAUAUUUCUCAUGUCUUAAACUGGAAUAAGUUUGUCAAAAUCAAUAACAUUUGGUGUGUUUUACCUCUGCCUGUUGACACUAUGGCAAAAAAAAAGGGUAUCUGCAUGAGAUUCGGCAGAUAACGCACAAAAACUAUCAUGGCGGGCUUACUUUCUCAUCUAAAUUAUUCCAGAUGAGAGAGAUAUUUUAACACCAGCAACAACAGCCUGAUUACUUUUUAAUCCCCAAAGAACAGUGUGACACAAAACUUGAUUCAUUUCAUUUUAUAGCUCUGCAAAGUUUUGCCAGAGUAUGAUCCUCAAAUGUUAGUCACACACAAGGCAACGAGUCCAAAUUAAGAUGCAAGCUCGGUUAGGAUGCUGCAGUUUGUGUUUUUGACCCAGAGGAGGAAAUGUGACUGAUGAUGCCCCUCGGUUGGAGCUUUUUCUGGUCUCAUCAGCUCUUUCCAUAGUCAUGAAUCUGAUGAGGGGACCGGAAUAACAGCUCGGGGACCACGCUGUGUCGGGGUUACGAAAAGCUGCAAGAAAGGGAAACUUUGUGGCAACUUGGCAGGAAUCGUAGACAAUGUCCAAGCAACAAUUAAGUCUCCUGAGAAGGGAGCAGGAGGAUGUGCUUAUUCAGGGAGUCUCUGCUGCCAAAUCCGGUACAGUACACAACAUGAGAUCCGUGGCAGACUGCUCGGUUUCUAUGCCGCACACAGAAUUAGCACACAUCCAUCUGUGCAUCCUCCUCAAGCUUGGACACAGGGUUCUGCCUUUGGGUAAUAAUUGCGGGUUUUCACCUCCAAGUGCCAGCGGAUGCAGCCUAGAGGUGUAUCUCUGUCAAAUUUAGUGAUAUUGGUGUUGGUUCAGCGGUACAGUGGGACACAGACAGAGACAAUGCCAGCAAAUGAGGGAUGAAGGUUUGUCUGGGAGCCUCUGUGUGUGUGUGCGCCAAACAGUGGUGUGUGUGUGUGUGUGUGUGUGGGUGGACGGAUGGAUGGAUGGGCGGCUUUCACCCAGUUGGGGAGGAAGACUUAUUGCUGUGAUCUGGAGACAGUCUCCAACACUGAAAAGACUGUUUCACAAACAGACUCGAGUGUUACAUUUCCAAAAUAUGUGAUUAAUAAUUAAGCCGUAACACGUCAGUUAAUACGCCCGUUGUGGACUAAUUACGAAAACUGAUUUUCAUUGAGAAAACAAGCAGGAAACCACAAGCUGUGAGCCUCAAGAAGCAAAAUGAUUUGACUCCUCAAUCAAAGGCCUCGAAUCAACAGACUCACGCUGACAGCCAUGGAAAUGAGUUGGAGUCAAUCUACAUAUAAGAUCUUUACAACAAAUCACAAUCAGACCCAAAAUUUAAUUACACACCCAUUUCAUGUUCUUCAGCCUGAAUACCAGCUCCACCCAAAAGGAAAUGAGUACGAGGAUAAAUCGGCAUAUCUGUUUUUAAUGCUUCUCAUGUGGCAGAGGCUGAAGAAUUACCGCCUCUUCAAAGAGGAGAUACAUCAAACAUUUUUUAAUGUUAUUCGUUUGUUUAACUGUUUUCAUCGACUUUUAAAACUUUGCAACCUAGUAUUAAAACCAUGGUGUCCUUUCAAAAUAAAAGCACGUUUGUCUUCUAAUUGGGCAAUAAGGCGCCUCAAGACAUAAUGAAUGUGCAACACACAACAAUAAAGUGUGACACUCUCAUCCAUAUGUAUCAUAUUACAUCGCACUGUAUCAUAUUAUGUCAUAUCAUAUCCUGUUGUAUCCUAUUGUAUCAUAUCAUACUGUAUUAAAUCAUUUUAUAUCAAAUGGUAUUACAUCAUAUUGUAUCAUAUUGUUUUGUAUCAUAUUGCAUAGUAUUGUAUCAUAUGUUAUAGUAUCAUAUCACAUCAUGUUUACUGUAUUGUAUCAUACUGAAUCAUACUGAACUGUAUCAAAAUAUAUUUUAUCUUAUAGUAUUGUAUCAUAAAUUAUCAGAUUUUAUCAUAUCUUUUGAUAUUAUAUCAGAUCAUAUGGUGUUGUUUCAUAUCAUAUUGUAUUAUAUCAUAUCAUAUCUUAUUAUACAGUAUCAUAUCAUAUGGUAUUGUAUCAUAGCCUAUCAUAUUGUAUCUUAUCAUAUAGUAUCAAAUCAUGUUAUAUCAAAAGGUACAUAAUAUUUUAUUAUAUUGUUUUGUACCGUAUAUUGUAUCAUAAUUUAUUGUAUUGUAUUGUAUUGCACGAUAUUGUUUUAUAUCAAAUGGCAUCAUUUUUUGGCAUCACAUUUCAUCAUAUUGUAUCAUAUUGUGUCAAAUGAUAUGGCAUCCUAUUACAAUGCAUCAAACUGUACGUUAUCAAAUUGUAUCAAAUUGUAUCAAAUCAUAUCGUAUCGUGAUGCUAUUAAGUUAAAUUUCCACAAAACAAUACACUGUUAUUUUUAAAGAAUUACUAUUUCCUAUGACAGAUGACCCCAAAAACAUUUAAAGUUUUCUUUUGUUUUUGAAGUUUAAUAAUAUGCUGGUCGUUGGCUGUUUACUGGUAUUGACAAAAGCUAUUGGUAUAUAAAAAAAGAAAUAUUGAUAAUGCACUAAAGCCAUGUUACAGUAGGGGGCGUAGUCAUGGUUGCUUUCACUGGUUUCCGUUAAAAACAACAAAGGCUAGUGUCUCUUUUUGGAGUUAGCAAGUCGGGGGCUUAUAAAUUGAAUGUUUACACUGUUCUUAUUUAGCUCCAUAACAGAGGAUCUAUAGGAGGAACAUAAUUUCAAAAUAAAAGCACGCCAAAGGACAGUCAAAAUGUCAAAUUAAAAGCCCCAAAGAUAAUAGUUUCAUAAGGCGACAUUUGCUGUCAUAGUAAGGAUACUAUUCAGGGUACUAUUAUUAUUUUUACUAUAUGCCCUUAGUUCAUGUGAUAUUCAGGCAUUUUGACUUCACUUUUUUUCAUCUUUAGAGUUAUUCCUAGCUGCCUAGCUGCUAAAAAAGAUCCAGAUGGUUAAGUAUGAACACAUGUGACGUGGCUGAAUGUGCUUCUUCAUCACACUGAUUGAGAACUUGCUGUGAUAGUGUCAUUUAAUUAUCCUACAAGUGUUUUUAUUUGCUUAUAACCCUCUAAGUGGGGGUGGUAAUCUCUGUCGGCUCAGAGAGAGAACAGUCUGUCUCCUCAUAAGCAUAUUCUAGUCUCCCAAGAUCCAUCACUGUCUAUUGUUAUUAUUAGUUUUGGCAUAAAAAAAAACUCAUUUAGAAAUCAGCGUUGGAUAAUUAAAAAUCUAACUAAAUCCAUUCCCACGGGAAGAGGAGGGCAGCGGAUGUCUGAGGCUGUUGCCAGAGCAGACAGAGAGAUGAGUGAGCAGACUGGUUGUGUUUCAUUUUCUGUAACAAUAACAUCGAGAAAGAAAGAAAGAAAGAAAAGCAGGUGAUAUCUGGAUUCUGCUGCCCUGCUCUCUUUCAGCAUCUAUCAGUCAACUCGGGUCGAACACGUUGACGUGAGCGCCGGUGUUUUCUUAUUCAAAACCACGUUCUUACUCUGCACUCAUCUAAAUAAAAUAUAAGAAGUCACCGUCUCUGUUCCCUGGACUUAUUUUUACUAACUGUUCCUGAUGUCUGCCGUGAACUUUGAUAAAAAGGUGUUCAAGUUGGAAACGGCUGCAAAACUCUGAAUCAUCAGGAGCAGGUCGGACUUUUUUAAAGCAUCAGGGUGUAAAUGAGUGUUUUCGGAUCUUUUUCUGUGACCUUUCCUUGUUAUCUUUUAUUAUUUUGUUUUUUUUAUGUCUGAAGCAAAAUUUUGUCUCAGAUUUUUUUUUGUUUAAUCUCAUUGAAACCUCACCCCUGGUUAAAUAAAGAUAGAAAAAAAGGUUCAGUCCAUUUCUCAGUCAGUCUGUCUGAUCCGUCUGAUUUGCUGCCUGUUUGAACCAGCCUUUGGUGUGUUUGAUGUGUGUGUAUCAGCGCCCGGACAGUGAAGGGUACAGAUAGGCAGAUGCUUUCAAUACAAAGAGCCGGAGCUUGUAUAGGACACGAAAUGUCAUGUGACUGCGGACUUUCUGAAAGUUUAAAAAAGUGAUCCAUGCAGCUUAACUUUGAAAGUUCGGCAGAUUCGGUAAGUGAUUGAAAAAAAGACGAGAGGGGAGAAUCAUAAAGAAAUUAGUAAUUCAUGUCCUGCAAAGUUGCACAUGCUGAUACACAACCUUACCAUGAGGUGUGUGCAUAUGUGGGCAUCAGGUUUCAAUAACCAUGUUUACAUGUGCAAAAUUCUUUAUAUUUUAUCCUUUAUUAAAAAUUUGAGGGAUCAGAUAAUCUGAAUCCACUGUUUAUAUGGACGCAAAAUCAAAUUAUCAGAUCAAGACAUGAGUAUAAAUGUUGUCACUAGAUGGCCUCAAAGGUUGCACUGUGCGUGCAGGUGUGACAUCAUUACGCUGUUUGUAUGGCUUGUUAUGUUAUUGGAGGAGCAGAUAUGGCAACUGCAGUUGUGUUUUAUGCCAGAGUGUUAAUAAUGAAACUUCCUGAACUGACCUCAAUAAAUACGCCAAAGACUAAAGAUUGAAGAUCCAGUCAGAUAAGAGAGUCACGAUCGGAAUAAGGAUGCAUUUCGGAAUAACGAUCGGCAUAAACCACCCCUCCCGACUGAAAUACAAUUUCUUUCAGAUUGAGCCAAAUUGGAUCAGAAUCUUCCGAUCGACAUGUUUACAUGACGCAUUUUUAUUCCGAUCGGGCCUUAAUUCCGAUUAUUUUUAAAUAAGCAUAUGAGUGAACCUGCAUGGGUGCAUGUGCAGGUGUUAGUGGGGAUGCGGAUGUAGACGCUGCAUGCAUUAGUGCAGAAAUGCGUUUGGAUAUUUGUGUCAAUGGAAACUAGAACUAGAUCUAAAGAAGCUGCCAAAAUGAACACUGCUAGCAGGAUGGUGAAAACAGAUUUAAGACGCUGUCCUAUGUUAGAGACGUGACUCCACCCCAUCCAGUCUGUAACAAAGAGGGAAAGACAGGUGAGGAGAUGGAGGACGGUUCAAAAGUUGUAGCGGCUGAAGUAGACGAAGUUAAUGUGGGAGGGGGUGAGCAGUUUGUGGAGUAGUUAUCGUCCAUUUAUCGUUAUCGGGGUGAACUGAUCAAUAUAUCUUGAUAUAUACACGGUUGCAUAGAAACUUCACAUUGUGGAUCUUGUUAACAAACGUCUUUAAAUACACAUUUUGCAGUAAUCACAUCACAUUUCACUCAAGUACAAAUAUUCAUCAGAGUAUUUAAGUAUUGAAAAAAUAACAGGUUGCCUCUUAGACUUAUUUCUUACAGCUUUAAACCAAGGCUGUAAAUACCUGGGAGGCUUGGAUGUCCUUCAAGAGAGCUGUUAGAAGUUUUAAAAACCACCUCAUGCCUCUGUGUUUGUCCACAGUGAAGAUUUUUGGCACAAGCAGAAACAAACAGAAAGCCCCGAAGCUUCAUAAAGUUUCACAAAGGGUCCUGAUGGUGUACUUCGCUCCGACAUUAGACCCUCCGUCCAUCGCCCUCAGUUUCCCCUUAAAAUGAAAGAGCGAUCAUAUUUAUUUACACAUAUUUGCUUUUGCAGCUUGUCGUAAACUAUAUAACAGAUCUUAGAAAAGGGUUUGGCACAGGUACAGAGGGUUCGAACUGAUGUACGUACAUGAAUCGUGUAUUUCUGUAUCUGUACAUUCAUCUCAACUCUGACACUGCGGAUUUACUGUACCUCCUCUGAGCUGCUCUUAUCCUCUAAUCUGCCUUUGUUGGCCCUUUAUGAUAAACUCUUCACAAAUAUUUAUAGUUGCAUUGUGAAGUAACUGCACUGCAGAGCUUUUCCCGUCCAAGCAGGUGCUGUAUGUCUGUGUUUCAUUUUGAGUGAAAUCCGUUAUGGCCCUCUGCUUCAGAAGAAAAGAAUCCGGCCCAAACUGAUCCUCGGAGACGGCGGAGUUGUUGCAACCGCACACUUUGUUUCUAAAUAUCAUUCAGGUUUGUCAGCCUGUCCAAACAUUAAUCCUCUGGAGGAACAGGCUCAUGAAAAAUGUAAGUUGUUUCCCUGUCUGGGCCUAUUAAAUCUCCUAUUAAGCUCUCAAAGACAGUCGAUACUCAGCGUCUACACCUUUUGAUUCACUUUAGAGCUCAAGUUGCACAUUUCACGUCUUUCAGUCAUUGGGUUUUGUUGCUCAGCACAGACAGCAACACUAAGCUCUCUGACACACAGCUUUCAGGUUUAUAAAUAUCCCACAGGACUCUGGUGUGGUCUGUAAUUUACAAACUAUCACCAGCCGCUGACAUGAAACCUUUAAUUUGACGUUUUGAUUGUCCUUUUGAAAUAUGAGCCAGAUGAAGAGGAGAGAGGGAACCAUGUAGGAAUAUCAUGUCACUUAUCAGCAGAGUUUCCAGGAAAGCCUUUUUUUUUGUUUAGUUUGUUUGUGUUUCAUCUUCCUCCAGUAUUGAUUAUUUCUCUGAACGUUAAAUAUUUAUUAUAGAUUCAAAGGUAACAUCUGAAAUGAGCUCAUUACCACAGAAAAAAAGAUCAAAUACUCUCAACUACCACAGAUCCACACCUGAAUUAAAGCUCCUAUGAGUGACUCAUUAUGAAACCAACAGUAACGCCUCAUUAUAACCCACAAAAAAACCCCAUCAAUGUUAGAGUUCAAGCACAUGACAAGAUCAGCAAAGGUGCAAGAGGUACAGCUUCGUCCACAGGGGGCGCUAGAGUAGGUUUUCUUUGCCUAUUUGGCUUUUAGUCACACUCAAAAAAAAAAAAAAAUUCUAGGUCUCUAAUGUUUUUUUUUUACACUGUUUUUUUUUUUUUUGCAUAUUUGUGGAAGUUAAAAUGUUAUUAAUUCGACUUACCCCAGUCGAUUAUAGAGCCUAUAUCCCUCAUAUGCUUGUAUACAAACUUCUACUAUUAGCUGUUAGCACUUGCUCAAGAAAUACACAUGCACAAUAUCUUGUUUUGCAAAAGCAUCCAUGGAUUUCAGAAACACUUCGGCUGUGGAAAACGAUAACUGGAACACUUACUCGACAUCAUACAUAAGGAAUCGACUGUUAGCUAGCAGCUGCCUGCAAGUUGCAGCUAAAGUUAGCCUAGUUUACCUUCAAUACGAAGCUAACUAACGCUAUUAAUGCAGGUUGUUAAGACAGUCCUUCUCUUUUUUUCUCUCUAAUCACCCUAAUUUUUAUUCAACUGAUGUUAUAAAACAGCGCCAUGGUUAGCGUAAGUAGCAGUUUGUGGACUGCAGCUGCUAUCCCUCAACUUACAUUCAUUCUUGUUUUUGGCCUUUAGUCACACACAAAAAAAUAAGUUCUGGGUCUCUGGGUUUAAUUUGCGUAUUUGUGGGAGUUAAAAUCUGAAGUCUAGGAAAAACAUCGUAGGAGCCAUUUUUCUCUGUGAUUUGUGUAUAUUACCUAAUUGGGCCAGCAGGUGUCCUCAGAGUCCUGUCAGGUGUUGCUAGACGGAGGAACACACAGUUUUUGGACCACUAGGGGCUACGUCACUGUGGAUGUUGUUUUUGGUGAUACAGUCAUGACUGCAAACGGAAUGGAAAACAAGUCAAAUGUUGAGCGAUAAAGACCGCGGCAAAGGAAAAGGCAACACGGAGUCAUAUUUCACAACUCACAAUAAUCAAGUGCGGUCGCCAGCGCGUCAAUUACUUUUAGCCCUUACUAGGCAGGCCCUCAGUGGCUUUAAGUUUUAGGCUUAGCUGCUACAAACAUUGUUAAACCAAUUUACCCCCGGCAAUGGUUUCUAUAUCCCAUAUCCCCUUUUAGCUUGGUAUACAAAUUCUACUGUUGGCUGUUAUCGCUUGCUCAAGAACACACGUAAAACACCUUCUUCAGUGGUUUACUGAUGUUUUUUUAUUCAGCCUAGCCUGCCCACUUCUACAUGAAUAAAUAAUGUGUGCCACCAGUGUCGGGCGUGUGCAGGACGAGGAGCCUUGAAGACGUAUCAAACUUGCACUGAGAGAUCUGGUGUUACAGUGUCUAAUACAAACAGCAGCACAGUUAAUGAAUAUAUAAUCUAUGUUGAUAUGACAGCUCGCAUGUAUGGAGUUACGUAACAGAUGGUGAUGAACGCUCGAUAACUGGGAGACGGCGGCGUAUCCUCGCAGACGUUUCCUGGGGGAGAAAUCGAAGACCAGAACAUGGGUCUAUUUUCCCCCGCUGUAUGCACAAAUCUCAUCACCCACAGACUGAGACAUUAUCCUUCAAUAGUGUGACUCGUGCCAGAUAUCUUCACCGCAGCACAACUUAAUCCGGGACUCAUUGAAGGUGCCUGAUAAAACACAGUCUUCCAGCUCCCUUGUCAAAUAACUUCACUUGGUCUUUAGUUAAUAUAGAGAUCCAAUCAAUCAAAGCUGGAUUUUAAUGGAUUCUGCCGCUCCUUUCUGAUGGGGAUUAAUUUUCUCCAAUACCUCUGGAAACUCGCAGAUAUGAGGAAAUUAUGCUUUUUAUCAUUAGAAAUUAAUGAUUUUGCAAAAUAUAUUGGAUCAUGACUUACGCUUGUCAAAUUUUGUUAGGAAGAGUAUAAAGUGACGGUGGAGGUGUAUCCAUAUAUAUAUUUAUAAAUCUUUUCUUGUGUGGUUUAAUUUCGUACCUGCCACAGGUCAUAGAGGUGUGUUUGACAAUAUGAAGUGAACACACUCCCGUCUCAGUUUGUUUUCAUCCACUAAGUCAACAAGUAGAGCCAAUAUGUCAGUUCACAGACGGAGUAAACGUGGGUGUUUAUUGAUGGAUCAGCGAACGAGCUAACAGCCUCGUCUGCUUCUAUUUCAAUCUGCUUCAAACCUUUCUGAUAAAUCGUGACGCAGAGCUGUCACAGCGUCAGACUUUGGGAUAUUAUCAGAGUAUUUAUGAGGAGCUUGAAAAUAAACUAACUUCGCUGGUGUUUUAGGUGACAGAGGGGGAAUUAUUUUAGAUGUCCGACGUCACGCCUGAAUCAAUUUUGUCCCGUCAGUGAAAACAAAGCAGUUAUUCAUCAGAGGUUUUGUUCACAGUGAUGUAUUUUAGCUCAUCACUGUCUCGUCUUAGUCGUGAAAAAAAGGGUUUCUGAUGAAUAUUUAUCCUCAUAAUUUUAAUUUUCUAAGUUAAUACUGUGCAGUGGCGCUCUGAGAGGUGAUGACUGUGAAAACUGAUGCUUAAGAGUAAACGGUCAAGUUUCAACAAUUAAACUUUCAGACUGUUACGAUCUACUUCAAGUAACAUUUCAGAAUAAAAGUAGUUUACAGAUUAUAUAGUCUCUAGAGUUAUUCUGUAUCACAUGUCUUAAAGGUGGGGUAGUCAGGAUCUGAGGAAGUUCCAGUUUUUGGGAGAAAUCUUGAAUGUAAACUCGACCCCUCCCAACCAGUUUUCCCCUCAGCUCCUCCCCUCAAGCCCCGCCCACAAACAGACGCUCCUGCUCGCUCGUAUCGUUCCAAUUAAAUUCAGAUAUAAUGCAGAUAAAUACUUCAGAUCAUUACAAAUGGGGCCCAGUCAAGGUGAAAGUCAAAAGCAUUGGUGUUACUGUAGAUGCCAACAGACUACCAGCAAACACAAUGUUUGCAGGACUUCUACAACUAGGAUAAAGUGACAUAGUCCAGGACCCGAGGGAGACAGUUUAGCGAUGGCGCUACAACACGCCACGCUUGACAAGAAACACUUCUGUUACAGACACUUGUCUUACUUUGUUAAAGCGGUUUACCUGUCCAGCAGAAAGGUUACAGGGUCACCAAGAUCCCCAAGCGUCCCCCAUCGUUUAUGUUGACCCGGCUUUUUAGCUCUUGUCCGGUCUACCUCCGUUUUAAGCGCCCGUUAUUCCUCCAGAGUCUCCGGUAUUUACUUUGUUUUCUUGCUU
RNAcentral lists this long non-coding RNA (16964 nucleotides) under Xyrichtys novacula (pearly razorfish). The record is from RNAcentral. Lineage: Eukaryota; Metazoa; Chordata; Actinopteri; Labriformes; Labridae.